This 313-nucleotide unclassified non-coding RNA is filed under the name plant metagenome. RNAcentral describes it as "partial contains 5.8S ribosomal RNA, internal transcribed spacer 2, and large subunit ribosomal RNA". The stretch from base 1 to 105 matches the Rfam family "5.8S ribosomal RNA", at positions 50 to 154 of the family's 154-position model. The record is from RNAcentral.
GAAAUGCGAUAAUUAAUGUGAAUUGCAGAAUUCAGUGAAUCAUCGAGUCUUUGAACGCACAUUGCGCCCCCUGGUAUUCCGGGGGGCAUGCCUGUCCGAGCGUCAUUGCUGCCCUCAAGCACGGCUUGUGUGUUGGGCUACCGUCCCUGGCAACGGGGACGGGCCCAAAAGGCAGUGGCGGCACCAUGUCUGGUCCUCGAGCGUAGGGGCUUUGUCACCCGCUCCCGUAGGUCCAGCUGGCAGCUAGCCUCGCAACCAAUCUUUUUAACCAGGUUGACCUCGGAUCAGGUAGGGAUACCCGCUGAACUUAAGC